This 497-nucleotide ribosomal RNA is filed under the name uncultured bacterium. Its description in RNAcentral is "partial 16S ribosomal RNA". It matches the Rfam family "Bacterial small subunit ribosomal RNA", at positions 28 to 507 of the family's 1533-position model. The record is from RNAcentral.
GAUGAACGCUGGCGGCGUGCCUAAUACAUGCAAGUCGAGCGAACAGACGAGGAGCUUGCUCCUCUGACGUUAGCGGCGGACGGGUGAGUAACACGUGGAUAACCUACCUAUAAGACUGGGAUAACUUCGGGAAACCGGAGCUAAUACCGGAUAAUAUAUUGAACCGCAUGGUUCAAUAGUGAAAGACGGUUUUGCUGUCACUUAUAGAUGGAUCCGCGCCUCAUUAGCUAGUUGGUAAGGUAACGGCUUACCAAGGCAACGAUGCGUAGCCGACCUGAGAGGGUGAUCGGCCACACUGGAACUGAGACACGGUCCAGACUCCUACGGGAGGCAGCAGUAGGGAAUCUUCCGCAAUGGGCGAAAGCCUGACGGAGCAACGCCGCGUGAGUGAUGAAGGUCUUCGGAUCGUAAAACUCUGUUAUCAGGGAAGAACAAAUGUGUAAGUAACUAUGCACGUCUUGACGGUACCUAAUCAGAAAGCCACGGCUAACUACGUG